RNAcentral lists this ribosomal RNA (276 nucleotides) under uncultured bacterium. RNAcentral's name for it is "partial 16S ribosomal RNA". It matches the Rfam family "Bacterial small subunit ribosomal RNA", at positions 77 to 353 of the family's 1533-position model. The record is from RNAcentral.
CAAACUGGAGAUGGCGACCGGCGCACGGGUGAGUAACACGUAUCCAACCUGCCGAUAACUCGGGGAUAGCCUUUCGAAAGAAAGAUUAAUACCCGAUGGCAUAAUAGAACCGCAUGGUUUGAUUAUUAAAGAAUUUCGGUUAUCGAUGGGGAUGCGUUCCAUUAGGCAGUUGGUGGGGUAACGGCCCACCAAACCUUCGAUGGAUAGGGGUUCUGAGAGGAAGGUCCCCCACAUUGGAACUGAGACACGGCCCAAACUCCUACGGGAGGCAGCAUG